This 47-nucleotide ribosomal RNA is filed under the name Amanita sp. 'cochiseana'. RNAcentral's name for it is "partial 28S ribosomal RNA". Lineage: Eukaryota; Fungi; Basidiomycota; Agaricomycetes; Agaricales; Amanitaceae. The record is from RNAcentral.
UUGACCUCAAAUCAAGCAAGAUUACCCGCUGAACUUAAGCAUAUCAA